CAGUCGCCGCGGUAAUACGUAGGGUGCGAGCGUUAAUCGGAAUUACUGGGCGUAAAGCGUGCGCAGGCGGUUCGUUAAGACAGAUGUGAAAUCCCCGGGCUUAACCUGGGAACUGCAUUUGUGACUGGCGAGCUAGAGUAUGGCAGAGGGGGGUAGAAUUCCACGUGUAGCAGUGAAAUGCGUAGAGAUGUGGAGGAAUACCGAUGGCGAAGGCAGCCCCCUGGGCCAAUACUGACGCUCAUGCACGAAAGCGUGGGGAGCAAACAGGAUUAGAUACCCGCGUAGUCCCUGUCUCUUAUAC
Molecule: ribosomal RNA, 301 nt
Filed under: uncultured bacterium
Lineage: Bacteria
Description: partial 16S ribosomal RNA
Rfam family: Bacterial small subunit ribosomal RNA
Source: RNAcentral